CCCCCCCCACCCCGAGGAGAACCUCAGUUCCCAUGGUUUUCACUUUCUCCCCAGAUCUCCAGGAUCUGGCUUGGCUCCUCCUUGACCUGUAGUGUGACGUUCCCGUUGUGAGGGGGAAACAAAAGAGGACUAACAAAGGGGGCACUUAGGGGUUAGGUGUCUUGCUCAGGGACACUUUGACAUGGGACAUGGGGCAGCCAGGACUCGAACCACCAACCUUGUGGCUCCCAGCGCACCCUCUCUACCCCUGCGCCACGACGACCCCGCAGCAACAAAUAUUUGAUGUUAUUAUUACAUUCAUAUAGCCACAGUACAUCAACAAAGCUACAGCGGUCAGUUCUCAAUGUCUGGCAUUCACUGGGACAGACAUCCUGGGAAAGUAGACGUACUUUUCAAAAACUACAACACAACACAAUGCGGCUAUUCUUGAUAAGCACAGAAAAUAAGCCCGGUGGCUUUGCUGGUCAUUUCCUGUGACCUGGGAACCGCCGGAGGGAAGCAUGCUGGUAAAGGACCGCAGCGAAAAAGGGCCCGACUCCGUGAUAAGAGAAGGGACGGA
Molecule: long non-coding RNA, 559 nt
Organism: Gasterosteus aculeatus aculeatus (three-spined stickleback)
Lineage: Eukaryota; Metazoa; Chordata; Actinopteri; Perciformes; Gasterosteidae
Source: Ensembl